This 466-nucleotide ribosomal RNA is filed under the name Capnocytophaga granulosa. RNAcentral's name for it is "bacterial SSU rRNA". It matches the Rfam family "Bacterial small subunit ribosomal RNA", at positions 28 to 497 of the family's 1533-position model. Lineage: Bacteria; Pseudomonadati; Bacteroidota; Flavobacteriia; Flavobacteriales; Flavobacteriaceae. The record is from RNAcentral.
GAUGAACGCUAGCGGCAGGCCUAACACAUGCAAGUCGAGGGAGAAGCCCUUCGGGGCAGAAACCGGCGCACGGGUGCGUAACGCGUAUGCAACCUACCUUUCACAGGGGGAUAGCCCGAAGAAAUCUGGAUUAAUACCCCAUAAUAUUAUUGGGUGGCAUCAUUUGAUAAUUAAAAUUACGAUGGUGAAAGAUGGGCAUGCGUCCUAUUAGCUAGUUGGAGUGGUAACGGCACCCCAAGGCUACGAUAGGUAGGGGUCCUGAGAGGGAGAUCCCCCACACUGGUACUGAGACAGGGACCAGACUCCUACGGGAGGCAGCAGUGAGGAAUAUUGGUCAAUGGUCGGAAGACUGAACCAGCCAUGCCGCGUGCAGGAAGAAUGCCUUAUGGGUUGUAAACUGCUUUUAUAUGGGAAGAAUAAGGAGUACGUGUACUUUGAUGACGGUACCAUAUGAAUAAGCAUCGCA